UGUUGAGUUAGCCGAGAGACGGAUUGCUAUUGAUAAAUGGCCAGAGUACUACGACACCAAAAGGGCAAGAUUCAUUGGCAAACAGGCACGGCUUUACCAGACUUGGUCCAUCGCAGGCUACCUCGUGGCCAAGCUCCUCUUGGCAAAUCCAUCUGCAGCAAAGUUCCUCACCAGUGAAGAGGAUUCUGAUUUGAGAAAUGCCUUCUCUUGCAUGAUCAGCGCCAACCCGAGAAGGACACGAGGUCGCAAGAAGACUCAACAACCGUUUAUUGUAUGAAAAGCUCACAAAUCUUUUUUUCAAUGUGAGCCAUUGACUAUGUCCUCCUCCACUGUUCUGUCCCUUCAAACAGAAUGAUACAGAAUUCUUGUGUAAAUAGUUUCUUUUUAUCAUAUGCUAAGUAUAGUCAGUGCUUUGAUUUUGUUGCGGUAGUCCAACAAAAUUGGAUACACAUCUAAUUUUUUUUUUAUUACCACUUGCGUUUCGUCCCAUCGAACUAAAUUCAAACUGACAAGGCCAUGUGUUUGGCCGAUGACAUUUGGCUGGCUCAUUUCUGUGAGAUUUGCCCGUGGUAGAUGCAUGCAUCUAAAUUGUUAAGUUAUUAUAUAGUUGUCUGACUUAUGUCAGAGGCUAUUCAUAAUGAGAGCCAAAUUUGUCAAUAUCUAUUCAAAACAAAACUUUCAAGUGGAUGAGUGUAGGAUUGGACCGGAGUAACUUAGAGUAAACAUGGAAGAGAUAAAGAGGAAAGAAUUAACUGCUUAUAGCCUUAGACAUCAUUAAUUCUAGUAGUUUUGGUUUAGAGACGGUUCUUAGUUUUUUUAAGAUUUUAACUAAGAAAAGUUAAAAACCAUCUCUUAAAUAAGAGAUAUAAGAGCUGUUUCUCAGGUGAAAAAUAUUAAAAAAAACAAACAAAAAUGUCAAAUCAUAAGUUAAGAAUCCAACUAAAAAACCGGAGGUAAUAAUGCUCUUAUAAUGUUACUUUGACUUAUCUUUUUUCUAGAGUAACAGAAAGGUGAAUAAAACAUAAAAGACAAAAGAAAGAUUUUAUUUCUCAGCGCAAAUGAGAGAAAAUAUUUGUUUACCUCUUUUAUCCUGAUUGGCUCUAUUUAAGUUGAAUUGGAAGUAAACAUUCUUACUCUAUUAUUUGUUUUUCUAAUUGUGCUAUCCAGGCCAGACUCUUUAUAUUACUGCACAAGAUAUUUAUAAGUACAGUUAAAUAUCAACAAAUAAAUGCGUGCAAAAUAUAUUAAUGAUCAAACAGGCCACUAUAAGAUAUGCAUUUAUUAUAAAUUUUGUCAAUUACAUAUCCCUUAUAUAUUAUUUGAGAACCAUUACAACUUCUUUUUGUAGCCACAUGUCAUCACUAGGAUGAUUCUUAGAAUCAUUAGAGAAAUAUGUUGGUCCAUCUAAUUAUAUAAUAAGUUUUUUUAUUAAACUAACAAUAAAUUCAUUAUUAAUGUACUUCAUUAUUUCCUUAAAUAAAAUUUACGAAAUUACCUAAUGUGGCUAAAGUAUAUAUGACAUUAAUGAUUUUGAAUAAUAAAGAUUUGAUAAAAAUUAGUGUAUCUUUUAUCAUAUUUGUUUAAUUUUAAACUAUUAAAUAAAUUAAACAACCACAAUAACCGUAUAAUAAAAAAAAUUAGAUUUUUUUGUAUAUGUUAUAUUUUGAAUUUUGAAAAGCGACUAUAAAUUACUAAAACUGUUUAAAGUCUUACAUUCAAAUGAUUACAAAAUUAUAUAAGUGAAAAGUAUAAUUUAAUUAAUUAUUAAGAUUGAUAUAUAUAUAUAUAUCGUUUUAAAUUAAACUAUAAACCAUAUAAAAUACAUAAAUCUUUUAGUUUCAAAAUUUACUUUGAACAACUUUUUGGUAAAAGUUUUGAACGAACAUUGACAACUUAUUUUUUUUUAAUUAUAAAUUAUUAAAACUAUUAAUCUCACAAUGAAAAUUUUGUUAUCAGUAAUUUAAAUUUUUCUCUAUAAAAGAUACAAAUGAUAAAAAAAAAAACUAUAUGAAGAUGGUUUCGGAACCAGAAGAAUGACCAGCAUUUGAAAGCUAUAUGGAAGACAUUAAGCUCUUAAAAAGAAGUUUCAUCAACUCAAACAUCGUUCAUGUACCACGGGUGGAAAACCUACGGGCGGAUAGCUUAGCACGCAGUGCUAGGAAACAACCGUCUUUCGUCGUUCACAUGGAUAUGGAAUUACCGAUUUGGUUUACAGAGUCAAGUUGAGUCUGUAAAUGUUUUUUGCUGUCAAAAAAAAAAAACUAUAUGAGUAGAAAUCAUCAUUUAAUAGACAUUAGUAUUAAAAAUAUACUAUGUAUGUUAGUAUCAUUUAAAUUUAAUUACAUAUCCUAUCAAAUAUUAAAAAAAAUUAGAUUAAUAAAAUUGAUUUAUAUGUUCACACUAAUUUAAUUAUAUAUUUAAUAGUUACUGACUUUUAAUUAUUCAAUAUAUAUUUAUUAUUUCAUAAUAUGUAAAAAUAUUUAAUACAUAAAAUAAUUUUUAUAUAUAAUGUUAAAUUCAUUAUGUUUUAAAAAUUAUUCAACUUCUAAACCGAUUUAUUCUCGACUUGCUUUAUUUAGAAGAUCACAAGUAAAUUACUUGAAAACCAGAUUUUGGCUUACCAAGAAACACAUUAGAUACAUUAAAUCAUUAAGGAGAGUUAUCAAGCAUCUUCUGAUGCAUCAGCAAACACAAAUCAUGCAAAUCAAUUAAAAGAAUCAUUUUUCAUAUUUGGAUCAUUGUUUACAUAUUUACAACUGACAUAUCUUCAUUUUUUUUUUGCUUAAAUUUGGUGCACCAUAUCUUCAUUAUUGCUGCAUCCUGGAGGCUUUCUCAUGAAUCAAGACAAUCCAAGACAUCUUAUGUUUAUGCUCAAGCUCUCAAGAUUCAAUAAAUAAUCAUCACACCAACUUUCUUUGUCUGGACUGAUUACACCACGAUCUCCUCCAACUACCAUAUUCAUUAAAUUUGAAUUAUUUGUUUCUUUGUUUAACUUUUAGAACGUUAGAAUAGCAAUAAGUUUGGAAUCUCUUGAUCAUCUUGUGAUAUCAAGUUUGGUGAAUUUCAAUUUUAUAUCAUAAUGUUAACUCUCAGACAGAGUUUUUAGGAAUUAUCUUUGGGUGAUUCCUUAGGAAUUCUCUUUCGAUCAUAGAAUAUAUUAAUUUAACGCUCUCUUUAAUUGAUUCUUUGUAAUGCUCUACUUGGAUGACUUUUGGGAGAAUUCUAACUUUACUUCGAAUUCGAGAUCAUUUUUCAAAUUUACCUUUUAAUGAUAACUAUUUUCAUAAUUAUCUUAAAUUUAUUAUAAAAAACAAAAUUAAUCUUACUAAAUCAUUUUUUUUGAAUGAAUUUUAAAUUUAUUCAAAAAAGUCUUCUUACAACUUGUGUGGACCUAGAGAUAUACUUAACCCUCAAACUUCAAACCAUAAAAUUCAAAAAACAAGCAAAUUUGCAUCAACUAUACUCCUCUUGUUUGGAACCAAUAUUGGAGAGUAUUCUCCAUACCUCUCCCGCCCUUCAUUCUAAUCAAACUAAGCUUGUUUGUUUCUGAUCCCUUUUUCAGUGAUCUUUUUCAGAAUGUCCAAUGGCAUUAGUCUCUCCCCAUGCUUCACUCUGUUUCUCUCUCGCCAAAUUGCAUAAGUAGCAGCCUGUAAUGCAUACCUCAAGCAAAAUAAACUCUUCUUAUCCAGUGUUCUACCCGAUGUCUUCUGCGCUAUCUCAGUCCAACCAUCCAUAUAAGAACUGCCAAGAAUCCCACCCACUAGAUACCUCCAUAACUGGCCAGAAUAGGAGCAUUUGAAAAAUAAAUGAUCUUGGGUUUCUGCUUCAGUAUGACAGAGCACACACACAGUGUCUACUCCUUGGCUCCAUUUGGCGAUUCUAUCCAUAGUAGAUAAUCUGUUCUUCAUUGCCAACCAGACUAUGAAAGCAAAUUUUGGAGUCGCCAUAGAAAACCAAACUCCUUUAGCCCACAUCUGCUUCUCAUUUACCUCUCGUAAUUCAUCCCAAGUCUCACGAGUUGAAAAGUUUGGUUUGUAACCCGUUUUACCUCUCCAUGUACUUAUGUCUUCACUUUCAUUACAGAUCAAACUUCUCACAGUGUCUAAACUCCUCUCCAACUCAUUCAGAACUUCUAACCGGUGCUUCCUUCUACGUCUGAAUCUCAAUGCAGCCUCUGCUAGCGUAGCUUCUUUCCUUAUUCCCAAACCAAUCAUCCCUCUAUCACCCAAAACCUCCGCUAUAAUACCCUUAUCAGACCACUUAUCGUACCAAAACGAGAUGUGUCUUCCAUUUCCAAUCUCCAUCUUAUAAAAUUUUUUAGCUACCUCUCUCAGCUUAAGCAUCUUCCUCCACAUCGAAGAACCCGUCUGACUGUCUGAGUAUGACCCUUAACUUCCCAAAAACUCCUCUUUUUUAAGAGAUUCUUGUGAAUCCAUUUUCCCCAUAGUGAGUCUCAUGUAAGCAUUCUCCAGAUAAGCUUGAGUCCAUAGAAAAGGUUUACCUCUUUCAGUGCUCUGAUCCCCAGCCCACCUUCACUUUUUGGUUUACAGAUUUCCUUCCAAGCCACUUUAGCACCUGAGGAUUUCAAAACGGGCCCUGUCCAUAGAAACGCAGCGCAGAUUUGUUCUAUGUCCUUUAUACAUUUGCUAGGUAUUCUAAAUACUGAAGCCCAAAAAUUGACAAUACUCAUCAGCACAGAGCUUAUAAGCUGCAGACGACCCGCAUAGGAGAGAUGCCUACUUGUCCAGUUACUUAUCUGGCUUCUGAUUCUCUCCACCAGUGGCAUAUAGUCCUGUCUUCUCAUGACUUGUGUCAUCAAUGGUAAGCCCAGAUAUCUAACCGGCAGCGAACCCUCAUCAAAAGGAAAGUUUGUUAAGAUUCUUCUUUUCUCCUCAGCUUCUACUCCCGCCAUAUACACCAUCGACUUUUCUAUACUUAUGCUCAAACCUGACCAUUGAGCAAACCCCUCAAAUACUGACAAAACUCCUUCAAUAGAAUCUUUUGUACCUUCAACAAAGACCAUUAGGUCAUCAGCAAAGCAAAGGUGGGUAAGAGAAAGAGACUGGCAUCUCGGGUGGUAAUUGAAUCUCUUUUCCUUAGCCGCUUUAUUGAUCUUGUGAGAUAGCACGUUCAUACACAAAACGAAGAGGUACAGAGACAGUGAACAACCCUGCCUUAGACCUCUCUUACUUUGGAAAUAGCCAGCAAGCUUGCCAUUUACCUGAACGGAGAAGGAAGGUGUAGUAAUGCACAACUUAAUCCAAUGAAUGAAUCGAGCAGGCACUCCUAUAGCUUCAAGACUCCGAAGAACAAAUUCCUAUUGCACUGAAUCAAACGCCUUUGAUAUAUCAAUCUUCAUCACACAACGAGGGGAAAUCACUUCUUUAUGAUAGUCUUUAACCAAUUCUGACGCUAACAGAACAUUCUCCAUCAAAAGCCUACCCUUAAUAAACGCAGAUUGAUUCUCAGUCACUACCCGAGGAAGGAUUCUCUUAAGCCUAUUUGCAAUGACUUUCGACACCACCUUAUAAAGUAUUUACAGCAUGCUAUCUUACUAAAUCAUUUAUAAAUGUUUAAAAAUUAUUUAUAGAAAUUUAUAAACUAAACCUCCCCUAAAUACUAAACUAUAAAAAAUAAUAAAUAAAAAAUAAAUUCAAAUGUUAUAGUAUUUUUGAUUGAGUUUAUUUUUGAAAAGUAGUAUCCAAUUUAGUAUAAUUUAAACAAGUUGUCAUGAUUUUUGCCUUAAAAACUAAUACAGAUCAUAAAGAAAAUAUAAUUUUGUAUUCUUCAGAUAUUUUCAAUCGAUAUAUUUAAUACUCAACUAUUAGUGCACAUAUUUAUGCUUUUAGGUUUCGAAUGGUGACCAUCGUCCCGCCCCACUCCGCAGUUAACAGUAAUAAAAAUCUUUACAUAUACUAUAUAUCUGUACAUUUUUAUAACUGUUAGGACCGCACCGCAGUUAAACUGCUUGUCCCGCACCGCUCAAACCGCAGUAACCAUUCGGAGCCUUAAACUAGCUGCUGACUCCCUCUGUAAUAUAAGAUUUAAUUAAUCAACGGCUAAAAAUGGACAGAAAUUGUCAGUUUCUUUCUUUCAUUAGCGGUUGAUUUUUUAUGUUCUAAGCAAUGUUUUUAAACCCGACCCGGACACUGAACCGGACGACUUACCGGGUCGCUGGGUCAUUGGGUCGACCGUGGGUGAACCGCGGGUUAAUAAAUGAAUUAAUUUUAUUAUAUAAUAAUAAAUUAGCUAUGAAAAUAAAUAUAUAAAAACUAAAGUUUAAUAGUUUCUAAAUGUUUUUUAAAACAUAAAAUAAUAGUUUGGAUAUAUAUAUACUUUAUGUUUAAAAAGUAUUUAAGAAAUACUUAACUUAAGUUUUUAUAUUUAUAUUUUUAUUAGACAUGAAAAAUAAAAUAAAAAAAGUUUAGACUAUUUAAAAUUUUCUGUAACAAAGUAAGAGUUAUGACAUCUAAAAAAAUUAAGAUAUAAAACGCACAAAUAUUUAAAUAUCUAAUUUAAAUAAUAAAUUAACUUCAAAUUCAAAAUAAACUAAAAGUAAAAGAUCAUUGUAAUAAAUUGUCAAUAAUAGAAAUAAAUUAACACCAAAUCACAUCAACUAAUUUAGUUUUUUUUUUAUCAUCGUCCACUUCAUUUUUUUAGGUGGCAUAGUGAAAAAUCUUCAUCAAAUCUAAAAAUUACAAAUAUAAAACUAAAAAAGGAAAACCUAACCUUUUUUUUUGUCAACAUCUAACUUUUUAAUUGAAAACUUACAAUAUAAAACAUAAUCUAAAAACUAAAAAAGAGUAAAAGUUGUUUAUUGGUUCAACCGGUAUCGGGUUUCGGGGUUUAAUGGGUUUUUGCGGGUUUUUACGGUUUUUUUGCGGAUUUUUAAAUAUUGGGUUUUUCAUAAAACCCAAACCGGAUUUUUUCUGGGUCACCGGGUUUACCGGUUCAACCGCGGGUCUGGGUCGGGUUUCAAAACACUGAAUAGAGCUAAAGAAAUAGAUGUGCUGAAGAUUUUAAGUCAUAUAACUUUGUUGUAAUUUGAAAUUAAAUUAAAAACUAUAAGGCGUUGUGAGUGUAAGCGGUAAGGUAAAAUGGAUAAGGCCAGUCUGGGUGGAAGUGCAAAUUUAUUAACUUGAAAUGUCUGAGCGGUGCAAAUUUAGAAAAUUUAAAGCAACACAACAUAAUCUAUGAAAGACUUGAAGUGCUAUGAAUUCGUUAAGCUUGGGAAAAAAAUAAAAAACUAAUGCAACGGACAUGUCCACAUGUCUUGCAACUUCAGCUCCCUUUGUUCUUCUAAAUACUUAUUGUGUUGUUUCUUUCCAGAGGACUCAGCUUCCUUCUCUUGUUAUCAUCGCUUCUGUUCCUAUAAAGACAAUGCUUUAAUUAGAUAACAACUUGCUUUUGAAAUCGACGAUAUCAGACGAACAAAAGAUCAUAGAAUGAGAGAACCACACAAAAAUCAAUUUCUAGAAUGAGAGUUCAGAAGCCUGAAGUUUUUUAAAAGUGACUCUUGGCUACCGAAAAAGUUUUGCAGAGAAGGUGAAAACUAGAAACAUCAAUCAAUUGAGUGGACUCUUGGAAAAGAAAACACUUCAGAAGACGUUUUACAGAGAGAAAACAGAAUCGAUUAAGCUGAAUAAAUUUGAAGUUGUUCAGAAUGUUAAUGUGUUGAUCAAAGGAAGCUACUCUAAUUUAAAACCAUAUACACACCACCAUGAUGGAUUUAAAAAUGAAGGAAACUACCCAGCAUUCUUCUGUUCCUAUUAACCAACUAAGGAUCAUCAUUCUUAGGAAAAUGCCUUGGUGUAGGCUCAGGAAAUAACAUAGCUUCAUAACUCUGAUAAUAGCAUGGCGACUAAUAGUAUUGAGGCAAACGAAAUCUCCAGUAAGUAAAGAGAAGUUCUUUGUAAAAAAAAUGUAAGUGGAUAUUGAUUACCUUCUUGGUCCUUUGUUCAAGCAUGCCUUUGAGACCAACUUCCACGAUGCUGACCAUCUAGCUUCUUGUCACUUUGAUCUUCACCUUCAACGUACCUGAGUCUCCUAAUAAUAAGUUAAGAAAAAAACAUUUCGUAUGAUUUCUUACUGAAGGUGUAUGACUUUCUGAAGAGGAACCAUGUUAGUCUUAGGGUACCUUAACAAUGGCGGAAGAAAUCCCCAUUUAGCAUGACGCUAAUCUUUUGCGUCAUUCCUCUCCACAAUCUGAUUACAUACAAAACCGCCUUCAAAAGGAGAAUUGGAACGGAGAUUUAAACUGAGAGUAACGAAGCCAUAAAUCUGGCUCUUAUGCGUUACAGGGGAAGCUAGGAGGAUAGUACAUAUUAAUUGGAGCCGAAGACGUUACGGUGAGCUUGACGGUGUGCUUACGGCUGCAACUCUGAAAAUAUCUAAGGGCAUGAGACAACUAAACUUAAUCUGUCUGGGCCUCUAAUCUCUAAAGCCCACCUAAACGCAAAGAACCAGCAAUCUCGGGAUUUUGUUUUGGGAUGCCACGUGGAGCAAUUUGCACACUUUUCUAUUUAUGAUGUCCUUUUAUUAGUAGAGAUCGGGCCAUUCAGAUUAACAUUUGGGCUAAAAAAAAAAACGAAGCCCAACUCUAUCAAAACCGUGUUGACGUGUUAAAAAGAACUCUUCUGAUUGGACAAUUUUCAUGUCCUACGUGGACAGUCUAAUUGAUGAUUAUAUUCCCUUUUUAUUACUUGUUUGAUUUUCUGUUUCAUAAUAAGUAUUACUUUACGUAUAUUUUUUAUUUUAAAAUCAUUCUACAAUUACAAUAUAAUUUUGUAUCUUAAAUUCAUUUUUACCUUUUUGGAUAACCAAUAAGCUUUUAUUUAUUUAAACUAUUUUCAUUUAAUUAAUCAUAUAUUAAAUAAUAACAUAUUAGUCUAUUAUACAAUUUUUUUAGUCUCCGUAAAAAAUGUCAAAAUCACACUUAAUAUGAAACAGAGAAAAUAUAAUUAAGUUUAAAUAGUUAUUAAAAAUUUGACCACUAAUAAAGUUACAUCUGUCUACAAAGUAUCUAAUCAAGUUUUUAGAGCAUCAUUAUGGCAUCUCUAACCCAAGUGCAUAAUUUACUGUAAAAUAGUGUGAAAAAUUCUAUCAUCAACAAACAAAAAAUCAUUACUCUAUAAAUGGAGUAAUUCGUUUUUUUUUUGUUAAUGACUGUAUUUUCUACUUCAUUUUACCGUAAAUUAUGCAGUUGGGUUGGAGAUGCUCUUAGUAGGAAAGUAUCUACCAAAGAGGAGUACUUGGCGUAUUAAUUAUGCUGAUGACCCUAUUUUCACGUUGAGGUGGAUUCUACCAACCGUUAGAAGUGAUCUACUCCUCCUUGAAAAUCAGGUUCCAUUUUUUGUUUUUCAAGAUAUCCUUAAGACGUCAAGGUUAUUUCCUUCAUCUAACCUAAACGAGAUGAUCUUUGCAUUCUUUAGCUACUCAAUAAGAAGGCCAAAAGAAUUUUGGGAAGAAAGAAAGAAUCUUGAUGCAAGCCAUCUUUUAGAUCUCAUCCGCAAAACUUUUAUACCUAAUCAAACGCAGCAAACAGAAGAAGAAAUAUACAACAAUAUAUUUUGUUGUUCAAGUGAAAACACAUGUUUCAGUAUAUUGAGUCGUCAUACCAAAAAGAAUGUUCAAGCGGAGAUACCAAGUCUGAUUGGCUCAGCUAAAAAACUUCAGCUCCGAGGACUACAAUUUAAGCAAAAAGGAAAAUUUGAGACACCUCUUGACAUAACUUUAAAGAGCGGUGUUCUUGAAAUACCAAAACUAACAUUUGAUGACUUUUUCACCUCUCUUUUGAUCAACUGUGUGGCCUUUGAGCAGUUUAGUAUGAGAUGCUCAACCGAAAUGACAAGCUAUGUUACUUUCAUGGGAUGCCUCAUAAACACUGAAGAGGAUGCAACGUUCUUAAGCGAGAAAGGGAUCAUAGAGAACUACUUUGGGACUGGAGAACAAGUAUCUUUGUUCUUCAAGAACACUGGCAAAAACGUUGCAUUUUCCAUAUCAAAGAGUUUUUUGUCAAAUGUGUUCGAGGGGGUGAACGAGCACACUUCAUAAGGAUGCCACGUACAAUGGGCAGGAUUCAAGUACACAUAUUUCAAAAGUCCGUGGGCAUGUCUAUCAUCUUGUGCUGCUUUGAUACUUCUUGCGCUUACCAUGUUCCAAGCUUUCUUCACAGCCUAUCCUUAUUUUCGUCCUCCCAAGUAAAAAGAGGACUUAAGGGAUUAUAUGGCUAGCUCUCGCUAGUGUCGCAGCUUGGGCUUCUUGUCCAAAAACUUACAUUUACAUUUUUCUUGUCGCUGUUUUCUAUUACCAACUAUGUAAUAAUGCAAACUUGAUUUCACUUCUUGACGUAACUUCUGUGGGAUCGCAACAUCAUACCCAAAAAACUUAACAUAUUUUUGUUCACAGUGCCAUUCCUCAUAUGUUUUUUUCCAUAAUUUCACUUUCACCAUUAUCACCAAUUAAGUUUUAUGAAAUCGAAUGUCGAGAUAAUAGGGUUUAUAUAUUAAUGCGAUAUAAUCGAAAAUUCUGGUGAGUUAGAAGAAUUCAAAAUUUCUUAUUAAACGUUCCAUCGGAUUUUAAUGAUUUAAGGAACAAUAAUCUGGAUUUUCUAUAAAAUUGGAGUGAAAGAGAAAGGAUAAUAAGGUGCGGAGAAAGAUAUAUAUACAAAUGGUGAAAUAAUAACUUUUAGUCAUUUGCAAUAUACUUUCAGUUUACAUAUGAUACGAAAUUACCAUCUGCUUUGGACUUAAUUAUUUGGCUCCAGCCUAUUGAAUAUGAAAACAGAGCAUUUUUCAGUAUAUUGUAUUUUGUAAAACAAAUUUGCAUCAUGCUUCGUGAAUUUUGUUAGACUAAUUGACUGGAUAUGAUAAUUGAUCCGGUGACAUAAUUGUAGUUUAUUUAUAAAAGUUGUCAUCACUUGCAAAGAAGAAAAGUCUUGGGUGAAAAGAUACUUUUGUUCCUUUGCCGACCUAAUGUGGAGACUUGUCAACAUUUUGCAAGUGUAAACUUCUCACCUCCUUCGUAAGGAUGUCUUCGUUUAAGUUUCUAAAAAAUAUUACAAAAAUUCGACGAAGGCUAAAUCAAGAAAAUAAAAUAUAUUUGAAGUCUUCCACCUAACCAGAAGACGAUCUAAGGUGGGUUUGAACUUUAAAGAUUUAGAUUAAUGGAUCCACAGACACAACAGAACGCCGCAGAAAACAGUCAUGAUCCCAUCCCGACAUCAGUCGUAGUAGACAUACAUAGCUUAACUUCAGAAGACACUGAUCCUAAGCUUCUGAGAGAAUCAGCUGGUUCAGAGUCAUGUUGCAUCUUGAGAAUCCCACACAGCCUCGCGCGGAUCAACCUCAAAGCAUACGAGCCCAAGAUUGUCUCCAUCGGUCCUUACCAACACGGAAAGGAACAUCUCAAAAUGGCCCAGCAGCAUAAACGCAGGUUCUUGAAGUUCUUGGUGGCUAAAAUGCAAGAAAAUGGAACUGAUCCUCAAGAAUUAGUCAAUGCUGUAUCCACUUUGGUAGGAGAUAUAAGAGGUUCUUACUCAGAGGAUCUUGGUUUGGUAUCUGAAGAGUUGGUUGAGAUGAUGGUUCUUGAUGGUUGCUUUAUCCUCACGUUGUUCUUAAUAGUUUCUGGCAAAGUUGUUUACACUAAUCUUGAUGAUCCCAUUUUCAGAAUGCCAUGGAUCUUGCCGUCCAUUCGAGCCGAUCUUCUCCUUCUAGAGAACCAGGUUCCUCAUGUUCUUCUUCAAGCGCUUUUCGAAACAUCGAAUUUAGUUACUUCUAGCUGUUUAAACGAGCUAGCGUUUGAGUUCUUCGACUACUCAUUACAAAAACCAGAAACGUUUUGGGAAAAGCAUUAUAGUCUCGAAGCUAAACAUCUUCUUGACUUGAUACGCAAGACAUUUGUCCCUGUUACUUGUCAAAGAAGCAUCAAAGAAGCUAAUGGUUUUCUUGGAUUCGUUUUAUCAGCCAAGAAGCUUCACUUUAGAGGAAUCAAAUUCAAACCAAGGAUGAACACAGAUUCAAUCUUAGACAUAAGGUUUAGUAACGGUGUGCUUCAUAUUCCUCCAGUAGUCAUGGAUGAUUUCACCGCCACGGUGUUCUUAAACUGUGUAGUCUUUGAGCAGUUAUAUGCAGAUUCAUCAAACCACAUAACGAGCUACGUAGCGUUCAUGGCUUGUCUUAUAAACGAAGAGAGUGAUGCAGCGUUUCUUAGCGAGAGAAGGAUUCUUGAGAACUAUUUUGGAACAGAGGAAGAAGUGUCUAGGUUUUAUAAAAGCAUUGGCAAAGAUGUUGCUUUGGACUUAGAGAGGAGUUACUUAGCGAAGGUGUUUGAAGGGGUUAAUGAGUAUAGUUCCAAAGGGUUCCAUGUUCAUUGUGCAGAGUUUGUUCACACGCAUUUUGAUAGUCCAUGGACAUUUGCAUCAUCGUUUGCAGCUUUGUUGCUUCUUAUGUUUGCGGCUUUACAGGUUUUCUUUGCAGCUUAUAGUUAUUUCAAACCUCCAAAAGAUAAGUGAGAGGUAAUUGUAAUUUACUUGUUAUGACUCUUUUGAGUCUAAUAAAUCCUUUGUUGUUUUCUUUAAUAUUUUUAUCUUAAUAGAGAGAUGGUUGCAUUGGUAACAUACGAACAUGUAAUUAAAUACACAACAGUUAUCUCUCAAACACUUUUUCUUCAUUUUGCCGUGGCUUUUGCGACUUCACGAAAAUCAAAGGUCUUCACUUUGUUGAAAUCAUUAGUCACUGGUGAAGAAGAGACACCUACAUAAAAACCUUCAGACUCGUACUCUUCCAUGUUACUGCUACCUACACGUGAGCUACAUUCUAUAAGGCGGUACACAGGUUCCUUGCAUGUCUCUGGUUUUUUCUUCUCCACGCUGUUAUUUGCAUCUUUUUCUCCAACCUUUGUCAAACCUUCUGCUUUCAGGGGUUUAAUGUCUUCUUUCUUGAUGUGUUUCUUCAUGAAACAUAUGACUUUGAAACAAUAAAGACAUCCUAUAGACAUUAUCUUUAUGAAGAGUGAAGUGGUAGAUGAAUGAAAGUUGAAACUUUUGUUUCAAACAAUAUGCUUGCGUGCAUUGAAGAUAUUUAGAGAGGAAGAGACGUGUUUCUUUUUGUUUGCUGAUUUUGAUUAAGCGUUUUUCUUGACUUCUUGAGAGCUACCUUAAGUUGACUCCACGCAGCUUCCACUUACUCCACCAAUCACUUGCUAGGAAAUUGCCCCAGUAAAAAUGAAAAAUAAACUCAUAGCAUACAAGCGCAGGCAAAGGUAAUUAAAUGGGAUGUGAAGCAGACAGAGCUACAGUUAUUUCCAACCUUCAAAAGGAAAGUGAGAGAUGCUUGUAAUUUACUUAUUCUGAUUCUUGUGAGUCUAAAUUUUUUCUUCUUUUUGCUGUUUUCUUAAAAAGAUUUACCGCUACGUUCUGCUUUCAGGGCUUUGUCUUUUUUAUUGCUCUGCUUUUUCCUGAAACAUAUGAGUUUGAAACAACUAAGGGUAUCUCCAACCUCUCUCCAUUUUUUCUCCAAAAUGGAGUAAAUGUGAAAAUAGAGUAAGGAUUACUCCAACCCAACUCCAAAUCUCACUCCAUAAUAGAGUUUACUCCAUAAAUGAAGUAAUCUUUUUUUUUGUUUGAGUAAAAAAUGAAAUAGGGUUAGAGUAUUUUUUUACUCAAUUUUUACUUUUACUCUAUUUUAGAAAAAAAAAUGGAGUAUUACAUUGGAGAUGCUCUAAAACUACCUCUUAUAGACAUUUUUAUGAGUGAAGUGGUAGAUGAGUGCUAGCUAUCAAGGGUGUAAAUAAGGAGAGUGCAAUUGGCAUAAAAGUUAGAAAACAGUUUAAUGGCAUCUUCAAUCAUACUCUAUUUUUUAUUCUAAACAUCAUUUUAGAGUAAAAUAUGUUUAACGUUAAAAUAGAGUAAUGGCUAGGAUUACUCUAUUUAUGGAGUAAUUCUACAUAUUAGAGCAUCUCCAAUGUACAACUCCAUUUUUCCUUCAAAAUGAAAUAUGAAGUAAAAAUACUUCAAUCCUACUUCAUUUUCUACUCUAUAAUGGAGUCAUAAACAAAAAAAUAUGGAGUAAAUCUCAUUAUAGAAUGUGAAGUGUAAUAGGGUUGGAGUACUAUUUACUUCAUACUUUCUUUUACUCUAUUUUGGAAGAAUAAAUUGUGUUGAGUUGGAUUGAAAUUUUUUUAUUUAUAGAAUGGUCCUUUGAACUUUUUUUAUUUCAUACUUAAAUAAUAUUCAAAAAAAAUAAUAUAAUUUUUCAUAAGAGAUUAUCUAAUAAUUUUAAAUAAAAGUUGCAUAAACUAAUAAAAAUACUAAAACUAAACAUUAAAAUAUAAAAUAAAAAUAUAACAUAAAAUAAGUAAUUUAAUAAUCUGGUAUACCAUUUUUGGAAUUGCCAUAAUCGGUGAAGCAUUGCCCAAACAAAAAAAAAUGUUUGAUUUUAAAAUUUUCUUGCCCAGUUUAAGAAAAUCAUGGAUAAAGAAACUCAUUAUUCAUUCUGAAAUGCACUAGUUGAACAUUUGCGAGAGAAAAAUAUUCUAAUACUCAGUUAUUGAAGCAAAAUAUUUAUCUUAUGUAUAUUUUUAUGAUUUAUUGUAUUUUUAAUAAUAAAUAUUUAAUUUAAAUAAAUUACAUGUUGUGGAUGUUUAAUAAACAUAAGAUAUUUAGGGUUAAUUGGUAAGUUUUUGUAAAUAUAAAGUGUUAGUAAUAAUUAUUAAUUAACCAAAAAUAAUUUUUCUUAAAAUAUUCAUUUUUGGAGUGAAAAAUAAAGUAAUAUAUUGGAAUAAAAUCCUACUCUUUUUAGUGUUAUUGAGUAAAAUAUAGAGUAAUCGUUGGAGAUGCUCUAAAUCAACAACAUCGUCUUCUUCUUCACCAGCCUAAACUACUCACUACCAACAAAUUUCAAGAUGAUGUCCCCAAGUAAACUUAUCAGUGCUAAUGAUACACCAUAAUAAAACCAAAAGGGUAGAGGACAACUAAGGUCCACUUUUUCAUACCUAGCCCUGCACAUUCAUAGCACAAGCAGAACGUACCAAUAUGCUUACCACUCCUAGUAACAUCCAUAUGUAAGUUUAGCAUUUACGGCUCCAGCCACUUGUUUAUUUAGGCUUCAAAUGGUAACAGCAGAUUGAGCGGCACGAGACAAACGGUAUAAAUGCGGUGCGAUUCUAACAGUUAUAAAUGUAUAAAUAUAUGAUAUAUAUAUAAAGAUUUUUGUUACUGUUAAUUUAAUUGUGAUGUGGUGCGGGGCAGAUUAAAACAUUUGAAACCUUAGGUUCCAAAUAGUAACAACAGAUUGAGCGGUGCGGGACAAGUGGUACAAUUGCGGUGUGGUAACAGUUAUAAAAAUAUAUAGAUAUAUGAUAUACAUAAAGAUUUUUGUUACUAGUUUGUGCGGGGAGGAUUAAACAUUCGAAGCCUUAAGGUCUAACUUUUUCAUGCCUAAUCCUGCACAUUCAUAGCACAAGCAGAACAUACCAAUAUGCUUACCACUCCUGCUAACAUCCAUACGGUGUGCAGCGAAACAUUCAAGGAGUACAGCAGUUGGAUUUAACUGUGAUGAGGAUGGUUCGCGUCUUUGCUCCUUACAGUUGUCUCGAACUUGUGGAGUGCAGGUUGGUUACUACGGGUCAGGGUGUUUGGACACCGUGUGCCAAACAGAUUGCUAUAUCAUUUACCAUCGUCGAGCUACGGACAUCCAUGGUUACUGUAAUAGUGUCAACUGCAUGUGUGAAUUUAGAGCACCAUUAAUGCAGUUUCUAACGUGGGUUUUUAAAGAAAAUGGGGUAUUUAAUUAAAUCAAAACAAAAAGAAAUUAGAGUAGUCGAUCCUUAAUUGGGUGUUUUUGUAACCGAUCGUAUAUGGGUUUCUGUAAACACGUGUCGGCAUAUGUGAUUUUUCCUUUUUUUUUUCUUUUUCUCUUCCUUUUCUUUUCUUUCCUUUCUCAUCUCUUCUCUUUGGUUUUCUCGUGAUCUCCGUCGGGAAGCUGAUUGAAUUUCUCAACGAAAGUAUCACCUCCGUUCAAUCGGCGUAUCCUCCGGUCAAUCGCCGUCAGGUCCAUCUGAUGCAAACUAAUUGACAUGUUUGAUUUUAGUAAAGUCUCUAUAUUUUGUUGUUUGUUCACGUAUAGUGAUCCCUGCCUUGCUCAUGAUUGGUUGAUAUGAAACAGUUUGAUCGUUUUGAUGCAUUUUGAUGAUAUGAGCUAGUUAGUUGCUUCUUCUAGUAUCACUGAUGUUCUGUUUUAUCUAGCUUGAUCGACUCAUUUGCAUGGGUUUAAUUUUUAAAUGUGAACUGUUCUGUUCCAUAAAAAACUCAAGUCUUUAAUUAUGAUGUGUCGUGUUGGCUUUGUAAGCUUGGUUUUGUUGUUGUUAGCAUACACAUUCUGCUUUGGGUUGUGUGUGUUGCGAUUGACACAUAGCUUUUCUUUGGGAGCAGCAUUCAGUUCUCCGACGUCUAGCAAGUAUAGCUUUGAGUUCUCAGGUGGUGGUGGAGGAGGGAAAGGAAGAAGAUUCGUGGAGGUUUUGGUUGGGUUCGUAGUCGAGAGGUACUUUACUGUCUCUUCUUUUCUGAUGCAUUUUUGGUUCUUUGGCAUUGGAUCAUCUUGAGUGGCUUGGUGCUAUGUUUUGUAGAAACUAGUGUUUGGAUUAGUCGUCAGGAAAUUUCAGUUCUGAUAUUGAGGCAGUUUGUGUGUAGUUUUUUACUAAUCCUGAGGCUGAGAUUGAUCAAUGGAUAGAGCUUUGAAACUUGUAACUUUUUUUUUUGUUUCCACCACUCAUGUGUUUUUGUGGGGUUUUUUUAUAAGAAUUCUUAAUUAAGAGACUAGCAUUGGAGCACUAAACUAAUUGUUUCAAAAAUGUUAUAUUUUAAUAUGUUUUAUUUUAUAAAUAAUUUUAUGUAACAAAAAAAGUUUAUAAUUUUUUUUAAGAACCUUUAAUUAAGAAACUACCAUUGGAAGUACAAAAUCGAACAGUUUCUUAACUAGAUUUCUUAACUCCACCGAAGUACACUUAUAUAUUUAAAUAUUCAUUAAGAAACACUAUAGAGUUUCUAUGGAUAAAGAUGCUCUAACACAACAGCAAGUAAGGAUGUGUCAACAAAUAUUUAAAUACUGUAUUUAAAAAAAAAGAAGAAGAAAUAAACCAAAUAUGAAAAAGUGAAUAGAGUUAAGACACGUCAUCGUUUCGCACGUGUUAACUCGUGGUUGAUGGAGAUAAUUGUUCGUGUUAACACGUGUGACCUAAGCAGAUUUGUUGUUCUUCUCCAUCUCUCGAGGAUUGGAGUUUUCAUCUCUUUCCCGUCAAAAUUUUCCUCUGAUUCUCCGGAAGCUGAAUCUGAAACACCCAAGGUAAGCUAGUAUCUUUAUCUCUUCUUUACGAACAUGUAAAUGAAUCGGAUUCGUUGAUGGAGCAAUGAAAUUGAUUUCAUUUAGAAAGGUUCUCUGUGAUUACGGAGUUUCUGAUUCAUUUCGUUAUGCUCGCAUGUUUUGUUUAAUGAUUUAAUUACAUGAUUUUGAUUCGAGCUAUUACCGAAUUAAGAUUCGAGUUAAGGCUUUGGUAAUGAAUGAAUGAAUGUUUCAGCUAAAGUUUGCUCAUUUCUGAGUUUUGGUAUAAUCCUAUUAUUAUGAUGCACUUAGAUCUUUUGAAAAUGAUGUUUGAUUAAUUGGGUAUUAAGAGAGUUUCAGUUUUGAAGAUGCUCAUGUUAACUCCCCUUGUAAAGUUUGUUCCUUUGAAGAUGCUCAUGUUAUCUCUCUCGUUGUAAAGCUUGUUCUUUUCUGCUGGAUUAUCAUGUUGGUCUGAUUCAGUUUUCUUUUGCAGGUAUCAAUCACUUCUUCUAGCCACCUCUCUGAGUAUAACAGGGUGGAUCAAAAUGGCUGCUUCAGAAACAGUUCUACGUCUUCCAUUGGGAUCUUUAUUUUCAUCUUGUCAUCUGCCUUCUUUCUCCCUUAACUCCUCUCCCCUCCUCUCGUUCAAACCCUCCUCUAGUAGAAAGCGAAGGGGCUUAAGGUGUACCAACACUUUGGCGAGAGGAGACACGUUUCAGAGCCCUGACUGUGUUUUCAAGGGUAAGAAGUUGCAGUCCACGAGAUGCAGAUGCCAAAGAAACGACGUUGAGGAGGACAUCAGAUCCAACUUACUUCCUUCUGACGGGUUGAAAAGCGACUUGGAUGAAAUGCCUCUACCUGUUAAUGGAAAUCUUUCGUCCAAUGGUAGUACUCAAUCAGCUGGAACGAACUCUAUCGAGGACGAAGCUUGGGAUCUCUUGAGGCAGUCCAUUGUUUACUACUGUGGUAGUCCUAUUGGAACUAUCGCUGCUAAUGACCCCAACUCUACAAGCGUGCUGAACUAUGAUCAGGUCUUCAUUCGUGAUUUCAUUCCCUCUGGGAUUGCCUUUCUUCUUAAAGGAGAGUAUGACAUUGUCCGCAACUUCAUCCUUUACACCCUCCAAUUACAGGUGACAGAAUCUCUCUCUUGUUAUAAAAGAUUGUCAUGUUGAAGCUAUUUGGUUUUGUUAUGAGUUGAUGAUGUAAUGCUUAUUGAUGACCAGAGUUGGGAGAAAACCAUGGAUUGUCAUAGUCCUGGUCAAGGAUUGAUGCCUGCUAGCUUCAAGGUGAAAACGGUUCCUCUUGAUGGUGAUGAUUCAAUGACAGAGGAAGUCUUAGAUCCUGAUUUUGGGGAAGCGGCAAUUGGACGUGUUGCUCCCGUUGAUUCUGGUAAGAGAAGCUAAGUUCUAAUCUUUCAACCAUGUGGAAAAGGAUAAUACAGAUUUGUUCUGGUAUCAUGUUAACUUGAUUAUCUUUUUUUCAUUUGUUUUUGGAACUCCAGGGCUGUGGUGGAUUAUAUUACUGAGAGCAUACGGAAAAUGCACAGGCGAUGUGUCCGUGCAGGAGAGAGUUGAUGUGCAGACCGGAAUCAAGAUGAUCUUAAAGCUUUGUCUCGCUGAUGGUUUCGAUAUGUUCCCUACUUUACUAGUAACUGAUGGGUCCUGCAUGAUAGACCGUCGAAUGGGUAUCCAUGGUCACCCCCUGGAGAUUCAGGUGUGUUACACUGUUAACUUCAAUUCGAAUCUGCCAGCCAUUUGAUUUUAACUUUACACUUUCAGGCACUGUUUUACUCAGCUUUGGUAUGUGCACGUGAGAUGCUUACACCAGAGGAUGGAUCAACUGAUCUAAUCCGAGCCCUCAACAACCGCCUUGUUGCGUUAUCUUUCCAUAUCAGGGAAUACUAUUGGCUGGACAUGAAAAAGAUAAACGAGAUUUACCGGUACCAGACCGAGGAGUACUCUUUCGACGCGGUUAAUAAGUUCAACAUCUAUCCAGAUCAGAUCCCUUCGUGGUUAGUGGACUUUAUGCCCAACAGAGGAGGUUAUUUGAUUGGAAACCUUCAGCCAGCUCACAUGGAUUUCAGAUUCUUUUCCUUGGGGAACCUUUGGUCCAUUGUGAGCAGCUUGGCUACAAAUGAUCAGUCGCAUGCGAUUCUUGAUUUCGUGGAAGCGAAAUGGGCAGAACUUGUGGCAGACAUGCCGUUUAAGAUCUGUUACCCUGCAAUGGAAGGUGAAGAAUGGAGAAUUAUAACCGGAAGUGAUCCAAAGAACACGUAAAAGCUAUCUCUUCCAUAUGAUUUUCAAUAACAUGUUUUUAUAUUUUUCAUGUUGAGCAUAUUUGGUUUUGGUUGCAGUCCUUGGUCUUAUCACAAUGGAGGUUCCUGGCCAACUUUGUUAUGGCAGGUUUGUUCAGACUUUUCUCUUUUCCCUUUUAGAUUCCGAGCUUAUCAUUUUGAGCUCAUCAAUGUGAACUUCCGAAGCUAUAUAGCGUUGGUUUUGAAAUCUUGGUCCCUUGUUGGUGUUUUAUCAGCUGACAGUAGCAAGCAUCAAAAUGGGUAGACCAGAGAUUGCAGAGAAGGCUGUUGAGUUAGCCGAGAGACGGAUUGCUAUUGAUAAAUGGCCAGAGUACUACGACACCAAAAGGGCAAGAUUCAUUGGCAAACAGGCACGGCUUUACCAGACUUGGUCCAUCGCAGGCUACCUCGUGGCCAAGCUCCUCUUGGCAAAUCCAUCUGCAGCAAAGUUUCUCACCAGUGAAGAGGAUUCUGAUUUGAGAAAUGCCUUCUCUUGCAUGAUCAGCGCCAACCCGAG
This 20125-nucleotide long non-coding RNA is filed under the name Brassica napus (rape). RNAcentral describes it as "long non-coding RNA (BNAP_LNC008848)". The record is from RNAcentral. Lineage: Eukaryota; Viridiplantae; Streptophyta; Magnoliopsida; Brassicales; Brassicaceae.